RNAcentral lists this long non-coding RNA (345 nucleotides) under Triticum aestivum (bread wheat). Its description in RNAcentral is "long non-coding RNA (TAES_LNC022713)". The record is from RNAcentral. Lineage: Eukaryota; Viridiplantae; Streptophyta; Magnoliopsida; Poales; Poaceae.
AGAUGUGGUGGAAGCCAUGAUCCAAUCGUUGUUGAAAGAGGGCACGGUGAUUAGUAAUGCCUUUGGCUUACUUCCCUGCAAGAAGAACCCGGCCCCUGCUGUGAGUCACCAACCUCAAUGAAUACCCUUUACUAUAUUACAUCUUGCUUUUACUCAUAAUCCCUUAUCAUCUUUCACAGGUCGAUGACAACUUCUGGAAGGUCAAAUAUGACCAUGAGGCGACCAAACAAGCCAGAGCGGCAAAGAGAGCUGAAAGGAAAGCCGCCAAAACAGGAACUUCAAGGAAGAAGAGGCCAAGCGCUUUGGAUUUGCUCAAAUUGGAUGACACUUCUAAUGAAGAAGAGG